UAAGGAAUAUUGGUCAAUGGACGGAAGUCUGAACCAGCCAUGCCGCGUGAAGGAUGAAGGCCCUCUGGGUUGUAAACUUCUUUUAUCUGGGAAGAAAUGCCUGAUUUUGAUUGGGUUUGACGGUACCAGAGGAAUAAGCACCGGCUAACUCCGUGCCAGCAGCCGCGGUAAUACGGAGGGUGCGAGCGUUAUCCGGAUUCACUGGGUUUAAAGGGUGCGUAGGUGGGUUGGUAAGUCAGUGGUGAAAUCUCCGUGCUUAACAUGGAAACUGCCAUUGAUACUACUGGUCUUGAAUUUUCUGGAGGUAAGCGGAAUAUGUCAUGUAGCGGUGAAAUGCUUAGAUAUGACAUAGAACACCAAUUGCGAAGGCAGCUUACUACAGGGACAUUGACACUGAUGCACGAAAGCGUGGGGAUCAAACAG
Molecule: ribosomal RNA, 423 nt
Filed under: uncultured bacterium
Lineage: Bacteria
Description: bacterial SSU rRNA
Rfam family: Bacterial small subunit ribosomal RNA
Source: RNAcentral